GCCAAUCAAGGAUGGACCCGUAUUAACCCCCUCCUCUCUGAAGAAUUUUGUGGUUUUUGCCUUCAAAAGCUAACCUCCCCAAGAAAGUAUUGCGCCGAGAAGUAAGCCUUGCUAUUGCAUUCUGGACAUCUUUGGUCUACAGUGGUCUCUUUGGAGGUCCUAAUCUGGGCAGAACAACCAGAAUUCUCGGCAAGCCUGCGUGGGCUACAUGUUUCUCUAAAAGUUGGAGUUGGCUUUUCACCUAUGAUGGGAUACACCUUCAUGUUGCCUGGCCAGGGUUCCCAGGUGCCUGAGAGAGAAGAAAAUGGGAAAAAGGGAUCCCUGGCUUCCUUGGAGGCCAGUGUUAGAAAGGAGUCUCUAGGACCAUGGUAUGAAGGGAUCCAUCUCAGACGCCCACCAGAAAUGUCUACUGAUUCCACUGUUGAUUCUUAUCUUGGUAUUAAUCAUUUUCUUCUCCUUAAAGCCCCUCUUUCCAUAUAUAUUUUGGGAACUCAAAACUUACUCUGACUCUAACCCUUUUUUCUGGCCUGUACCAGAUUCCCUCAUGGAAAAAAGGACAGAUGGCCUCAGUAGCUGUUGGACCUUGAGGACUCUGGGUCAAGUGACAGAGCCCUAGGCUUGUCUUCUUUAUUUGAGCAUCAGAUCUAAAAAGAAUUAAGCAGCCUCUGCAGAGUAGUGGUCACUUAACCUUGCCUUAAGAUCCUGUUUAUGGGCACCACCCCUUCCCUAAGGUUAUAAAUGGCUAGUAAAGGAGACCUUAGGAAUGUUGCUUAGCUUCUUCAUGGUGGUCAUGAAUUUUACAGAGUUCUGUACCGAGCCUGUUCCCAUGGACCUGUGGUCCCAGCAUCUGCUGUUAGGAAAUUGGAUGUAGUCCUCUUCCUGUGGGUUUCAUCUGGAUAAGACCACCUGUUCUUCCGGACACUUCAUGUGCCACCAAAGAAGAAACAAGUCCCUGGCCUCUGAGGUCCCGGAGCUGAGGAGGCUCCAUUCUCUGGCUGGGAUGUGUCAGCGAUGGCAGGAGGAGAGAAUGAGAUGAAGUAGGAAGAAGGUUUAGAGGAAAACAGGGAAAAGUUUCUCUUCCCCAAGAUGGCAAAGGACUAGCAUGUUGGGAGGAACAGAAUAAAACUUUUAAAGCGGCCAGCUGCCCAAACGUCCAUCUCUGCAGACAGAACGUUUUCCUCCAGCUUGUUUACAGAGUCCCUUGUCCUCUCCCCAGUGACUCCGAUACUCCGUUAGUACCCACGAAAUAGAAAUGGUUCCUGAGGGGUCAGAAGUGGGUGGCAAACAAAACAGUUAUUCUGUGCGCGUGUGCUCCAAUCACGUGGUUCCUCACCCUACCAGCUCCGAACUGCCUUGUUCAGAUGAAUGACAAAGGGACCCUGCAGUAAAAAUUGGCCACACCGGCUCCGAAAAUGAGAACUUAGUAACAUACUACGAGGGAGGAGAAAACUGGGAUCUGGGAUGCUUGGCUUCCCUCAAUAUGCAGAAUGUGCCUCUGCUCCCAGUCCAUCUUGAGACCUUUGAGGCAUUAAAUAAACCCACCGCGUUUGCGGUUGGUUCUGAAGGUGGCCAAGCUCCAAGCAAGGGAAAGAGUACCUGCGAGGCGGAAGAAUCACCACAAGGAGACGCUUCGGAGCCGAGUAGCGAGGUGCAGUCUGCGAGGUCCUGCAGGUCUAUGGUGGUGAGGGCUGCGCGGGGAGAUCGGGAGACACGCGCCCAGAGAACUCUAAGCCUCUCUGCCAGGUCGCCGCCAGGACCCUCAACCAGGACCUGGGAGCCCGGGGCAGAGGGGCUGCGGACCGCGUGCGCCGCACCUACCCCUGGCAUGGAUCAUCUAGGGGUCGCGCAGGUGCCUCGGGGCUCACCUGGCAGUGCAGCCGGCUCCGCGUCCGGGGGAUCCUCGAACACCGACACUGGGCUGUCGCCGCUGCAUCCCGAGAAGGACUUCCACGGAGGAGCGAACUAGUGGAGCACAGAAAAGGAGAACUCAGGUCCCCGUUCGGGGCGCGGGGCUAGCAGGCUCUGCCAGAGCCAAGGCGGUAGCGAGCAUCCCCACCUUCCUCUCCGGCUUCCCGGGCUUGCCGAGGG
Long non-coding RNA from Peromyscus leucopus (white-footed mouse), 2088 nucleotides. RefSeq lists it as uncharacterized. The record is from RefSeq and is a predicted model, not a curated record. The transcript has 3 exons. NCBI's taxonomy places the organism in Eukaryota, Metazoa, Chordata, Mammalia, Rodentia, Cricetidae.